RNAcentral lists this transfer RNA (66 nucleotides) under Prochlorococcus marinus str. MIT 9303. RNAcentral describes it as "tRNA-Leu (CAA) (tRNA-Leu-CAA-2-1)". It matches the Rfam family "tRNA". From Rfam's summary of the family: Transfer RNA (tRNA) molecules are approximately 80 nucleotides in length. Their secondary structure includes four short double-helical elements and three loops (D, anti-codon, and T loops). Further hydrogen bonds mediate the characteristic L-shaped molecular structure. tRNAs have two regions of fundamental functional importance: the anti-codon, which is responsible for specific mRNA codon recognition, and the 3' end, to which the tRNAs corresponding amino acid is attached (by aminoacyl-tRNA synthetases). tRNAs cope with the degeneracy of the genetic code in two manners: having more than one tRNA (with a specific anti-codon) for a particular amino acid; and 'wobble' base-pairing, i.e. permitting non-standard base-pairing at the 3rd anti-codon position. The record is from RNAcentral. Lineage: Bacteria; Bacillati; Cyanobacteriota; Cyanophyceae; Synechococcales; Prochlorococcaceae.
GGGGUUUAGGCAUAGUUCUUCGGGCUCAUAACCCGAAGGUCGGGAGUUCAAAUCUCCCCCCCGCCA